CCUGCCGUUAUAUUUUUCAUCUGGCCUUGAUGUUGCCGAAACUGCAAUCUCAUGGAUACCAGAUAAUGAAGCUCUCUGAGAUCUUGGCAAAUGUUGUACACUUAUCCAAUAGUUGAUAGAUGCUGUCAUUAUUCACAACAUAUUAUGCCUCUGCAAAUAAAUGACAUAUACAUUAAUUAAGGAGAGGAUUGCACCUCUGUCUGGCAUGGCACACAGAGAUUCUUGGAUUUGAUUUUAAGCAACUUAAUUAUAAAAU
This 256-nucleotide unclassified non-coding RNA is filed under the name Hevea brasiliensis (rubber tree). Lineage: Eukaryota; Viridiplantae; Streptophyta; Magnoliopsida; Malpighiales; Euphorbiaceae. The record is from RNAcentral.